AUUAGCAUCUUUGGUUGUGCGAUCUAUGCUAAGCAAGGUACGUUGCUGCAUCUUGGGUUGUGCAUCUAUGUGUUUUUGUGAUGUAAGGUGGUAGUAAAGGUGUGAUGAUGGUGGCAUUGUAUCUCUAAGCAUGUCCAUAUGAUUGGUUGGAGGUAGAGGUGGUGGCAAAGGUGGCAGUGACAUUUCGGUGGCAUCAGUGGCUAGGGAUGUCAAAUGUAACAACCUGGAAUUUUUUUAUGGCUUAAAAUUAAUGUUGACUAUUUAGCAAAUGAAAUAGUCCACGUCAAUUUUAUCGUCAC
This 299-nucleotide long non-coding RNA is filed under the name Olea europaea (common olive). Its description in RNAcentral is "long non-coding RNA (OEUR_LNC006623)". Lineage: Eukaryota; Viridiplantae; Streptophyta; Magnoliopsida; Lamiales; Oleaceae. The record is from RNAcentral.